GUUUAGAAAAUCUCAUUUACUAGGAUGUGAAACUUUUUUCUUGUCACGAGGAAGAACAAAACACAGAACAGGAAGCAGCUGAUGUUCCUGUUCAAUCAAUAAUGGAGUAUGAAGAAGCAGGUGAAUCAUUUCAGUAUGUGCAGUGUAAACAGGAGCCUAAACAAGCAGAUGACUCAUUUCAGGUUUUUCCAUCAACAAGUGCUAAAGGAAAGAGAAAGUUGGAUCUUCAGGGUGAGUCCAGUGAAGGACAAUCACCCAGAAAACGACGUGACCAUGAAGCACAACCAGACAGAGAAGCGUUCAUACUGUCUGAUGUCAAAGAUAUUUUGAGAUCUGUCCUUAAGAAACUGCCCGACCAAGGCAACACAAAGAUGAAUGAGUUCCUGAGG
Molecule: long non-coding RNA, 389 nt
Organism: Acanthochromis polyacanthus (spiny chromis)
Lineage: Eukaryota; Metazoa; Chordata; Actinopteri; Pomacentridae
Exons: 6
Source: RefSeq, a predicted model, not a curated record